This is a long non-coding RNA of Panicum virgatum (switchgrass), 653 nucleotides long. RefSeq lists it as uncharacterized. NCBI's taxonomy places the organism in Eukaryota, Viridiplantae, Streptophyta, Magnoliopsida, Poales, Poaceae. The transcript has 2 exons. The record is from RefSeq and is a predicted model, not a curated record.
ACCACUAAAAUAAAAAUGUAACAGUGAGCAUUCAUUGAAUUUCAGCAGGUUACUUACUGAUUUGAAGAGUGAAAAAAGAAAAGGAAAAAACCUGCACGCCAGACAGUCUUUUAAUGAAAUCUUGACUGCUUCCUCUGGAGGCUUUGUGCUCACCACAUUUUCCUUUUGUUUGAUCUGUAAAAUUCUCAGUCUCAGAAAUAUGGAUAACAGUUUGGAGAAAGGCAGUAGACGGGGGAUUGCUUUAUGAAGUUUCCAAUGAUGCAGACGUGAAGCUGAUUAUUAGAAGAAAUGUACAGAGUUUCAGGAAUAUGGAGAAUGGCUUGCAGAAAGGCAGUAGACGAGGAAUUGCUUUAUGAAGUUCCAAUGGUGCAGACAUAGUUGAUUAUUAGCAGAAGUGUAAAUUUUAUGCGCCAAACAAACAACCCUUUUUUUUCCCUAGAAGCAAAUUAUGGAGAUGCUGUGCUACCAGAGUCAAUUAUGCAACAAGCAGGGGUAAGUACAGUGCUCAAGGAUCUUGAGCAUGGCACAAAUUUACCUAGCUUCCUUUUGCAACUAUAUAGCAGAUAUUAUACCUAACUUUAUGCUAUCUUGUACACGCAAAAACAUACUAGGUAAUCCUUCAGUGCAAAACUAUAGGAUCACGGUAUUUGGUA